UACGGAAGGCAGCAGGGGGAAUAUUGCACAAUGGGCGCAAGCCUGAUGCAGCCAUGCCGCGUGUAUGAAAAAGGCCUUCGGGUUGUAAAGUACUUUCAGUCGUGAGGAAGGUGUUAAGGUUAAUAACCUUAGCAAUUGACGUUAGCGACAGAAGAAGCACCGGCUAACUCCGUGCCAGCAGCCGCGGUAAUACGGAGGGUGCGAGCGUUAAUCGGAAUUACUGGGCGUAAAGGGCACGCAGGCGGUUAAUUAAGUUGGAUGUGAAAUCCCCGGGCUUAACCUGGGAAUGGCAUUCAAGACUGGUUAGCUAGAGUCUUGUAGAGGGGGUAGAAUUCCAUGUGUAGCGGUGAAAUGCGUAGAGAUGUGGAGGAAUACCGGUGGCGAAGGCGGCCCCUGGACAAGACUGACGCUCAUGUGCGAAAGCGUGGGGAGCAAACAGGGAUUAGAUACC
This 451-nucleotide ribosomal RNA is filed under the name uncultured bacterium. RNAcentral describes it as "bacterial SSU rRNA". It matches the Rfam family "Bacterial small subunit ribosomal RNA", at positions 340 to 786 of the family's 1533-position model. The record is from RNAcentral.